UCUACAACGACCCCGAGGCAGCUCGCUAGUCUGCCCGGGGGUGUCCUCUCCUACAACGGCCUCGGGGCAGCUCGCUAGUCUGCCCGGGGGCGUCACUUUCUACAACGGCCUCGGGGCAGCUGUCUGGUCUGCCGAGGACGUACUGGAGCUGGCUACCGCCAGGACGCCGGUAUAGCGCAGGCGUCAUUCCGGAGGCUUAGAAUGCUGAUGCCGGCGCGCGCUGAGAGCUCUCCCCUUUUUGCUGGUCGGCUAUCUAUGACCUGAUUACCUAUAGUCUCGUGGUCACUGUUUUAACCCCUUGUCAAGUUUUUAGGUAACAUAAAACAUUCAUGGUCAUCAUUGCCACGUGUAGCACAGGGGCUAAGCCCCUUACGUAAGUAACAGUAGCUGCGGCCUCUGUUUUCAGUUGCUUAACAACCAAUGGGUUUCCAUGUUUUUUAAGGGGCGGCGCUAAAAUCAUAACAAUAAUAACAAUAAUACAAUAAUAACAAUAAUUAUUAACAAUAACAAUAACAAUAAUAAAAGAAAAAGCAGCUCACUAGUCUGCCCGGGGAAGCCGUUUCUCAUGGCCUCGGGUGCUGCCCGGGAUGCUCCAUUCUUCCACCUUCUACAACGGACAUGGGGCGGCUCGCUUGUCUACCCGCAGGUGGCUGCCACUAGGACGCUCGGUAGCGCGGGUGUCCUUACGGCGGCUUAGAGCGCUGAUUCCUGGAACGAGCUGAGAGCCCUCCCCUUUUUUUGCUGGGCGGCUGUCAACGUCCUCCGUUGAUACUGUUCUAAUCCCUUCAAAAGUUCUGGGAAAAUUAAUGGUCGCGCUGACAGGCAUGUGCAUAGGGUUCAAGGUAAAGGAAAAUACAGCUUCUGCUGUCAGAUGCCUCAGAACUCAUGGAUGUUUUUUUUUCGGCGGGUAUAUCGAGGGCCUUUAGUUGGUGGAGGCUAUCAUCGCAGUAGUGGCUAAUGCUACCGGUUGUUCGUCCUGCUGUAAGGGCUUCGGUAUAAAUGGCGUAAUAUGGUUGUUCAAUGGUGACCGCUGUAUCGCUCACAUCCAUGUUGGCAGGUUUUAGGGAUCGUGGCGUUUCUGGUAAGCUUCGGGCCAGGUUGAGAAAAUAAUUACCUACCUUCAACCAAGCACGUAUUUGGGUGGGUUUCCGCCACUGGUCUCGACACUGGCGGCGACUAUAGGUCUUUUGUGUUAAUUUGUAUCCCCCAUUCGGUCUGCUGGUCUCGGGAAGGGGGUGUUUUAUUUUGGCGCAUUGGUGAUCGGAAGAGCACUACCA
This is a long non-coding RNA of Amphibalanus amphitrite, 1277 nucleotides long. RefSeq lists it as uncharacterized. The transcript is spliced from 3 exons. NCBI's taxonomy places the organism in Eukaryota, Metazoa, Arthropoda, Thecostraca, Balanomorpha, Balanidae. The record is from RefSeq and is a predicted model, not a curated record.